RNAcentral lists this ribosomal RNA (440 nucleotides) under uncultured bacterium. Its description in RNAcentral is "partial 16S ribosomal RNA". It matches the Rfam family "Bacterial small subunit ribosomal RNA", at positions 338 to 795 of the family's 1533-position model. The record is from RNAcentral.
CCUACGGGAGGCAGCAGUGGGGAAUAUUGCACAAUGGGGGAAACCCUGAUGCAGCGACGCCGCGUGAGUGAUGAAGGUUUUCGGUUUGUAAACCUCUAUUAUCAGGGAAGAAAAUGACGGUAUCUGACUAAUAAGCACCGGCUAACUACGUGCCAGCAGCCGCGGUAAUACGUAGGGGGCAAGCGUUACCCGGAUUUACUGGGUGUAAAGGGAGCGUAGGCGGGAGAACAAGUCAGGAGUGAAAUGCUGGGGCUUAACCCUGGAACUGCAUUGGAAACUGUGAAGCUAGAGUGCAGGAGAGGUAAGUGGAAUUCCUGGUGUAGCGGUGAAAUGCGUAGAUAUUAGGAGGAACACCAGUGGCGAAGGCGGCUUGCUGGAAUGUAACUGACGUUGAGGCUCGAAAGCGUGGGGAGCAAACAGGAUUAGAUACCCGUGUAGUC